GCCAUCAUAGCUCAGUGGCAGAGCACUGGUCUUGUAAACCAGGGGUCGAGUUCGAUCCUCACUGGUGGCU
Molecule: transfer RNA, 70 nt
Filed under: Trichonephila inaurata madagascariensis
Lineage: Eukaryota; Metazoa; Arthropoda; Arachnida; Araneae; Nephilidae
Rfam family: tRNA
About the family: Transfer RNA (tRNA) molecules are approximately 80 nucleotides in length. Their secondary structure includes four short double-helical elements and three loops (D, anti-codon, and T loops). Further hydrogen bonds mediate the characteristic L-shaped molecular structure. tRNAs have two regions of fundamental functional importance: the anti-codon, which is responsible for specific mRNA codon recognition, and the 3' end, to which the tRNAs corresponding amino acid is attached (by aminoacyl-tRNA synthetases). tRNAs cope with the degeneracy of the genetic code in two manners: having more than one tRNA (with a specific anti-codon) for a particular amino acid; and 'wobble' base-pairing, i.e. permitting non-standard base-pairing at the 3rd anti-codon position.
Source: Rfam by way of RNAcentral